RNAcentral lists this ribosomal RNA (324 nucleotides) under uncultured eukaryote. Its description in RNAcentral is "partial 18S ribosomal RNA". It matches the Rfam family "Eukaryotic small subunit ribosomal RNA", at positions 1470 to 1796 of the family's 1831-position model. The record is from RNAcentral.
CCCUUAGAUGUUCUGGGCUGCACGCGCGCUACACUGAUGCGCUCAACGAGUUUUAACCUUGCCUGGAAAGGUUGGGUAAUCUUUUUAAAACGCAUCGUGAUGGGGAUAGAUUAUUGCAAUUAUUAAUCUUCAACGAGGAAUUCCUAGUAAACGCAAGUCAUCAGCUUGCAUUGAUUACGUCCCUGCCCUUUGUACACACCGCCCGUCGCACCUACCGAUUGAAUGGUCCGGUGAAAUCUCCGGACUGGCGUGAGUCGGAGCAAUCUGACAAACGCCGGAAAGUUGAUUAAACCUUACCAUUUAGAGGAAGGUGAAGUCGUAACA